AGUGAACGCUGGCGGUAGGCCUGACACAUGCAAGUCGAACGGCAGCACAGUAAGAGCUUGCUCUUACGGGUGGCGAGUGGCGGACGGGUGAGGAAUACAUCGGAAUCUACUUUUUCGUGGGGGAUAACGUAGGGAAACUUACGCUAAUACCGCAUACGACCUACGGGUGAAAGCAGGGGAUCUUCGGACCUUGCGCGAUUGAAUGAGCCGAUGUCGGAUUAGCUAGUUGGCGGGGUAAAGGCCCACCAAGGCGACGAUCCGUAGCUGGUCUGAGUGGAUGAUCAGCCACACUGGAACUGAGACACGGUCCAGACUCCUACGGGAGGCAGCAGUGGGGAAUAUUGGACAAUGGGCGCAAGCCUGAUCCAGCUAUACCGCGUGGGUGAAGAAGGCCUUCGGGUUGUAAAGCCCUUUUGUUGGGAAAGAAAAGCAGCAGGUUAAUACCCCGCUGUUCUGACGGUACCCAAAGAAUAAGCACCGGCUAACUUCGUG
Molecule: ribosomal RNA, 492 nt
Filed under: uncultured bacterium
Lineage: Bacteria
Description: partial 16S ribosomal RNA
Rfam family: Bacterial small subunit ribosomal RNA
Source: RNAcentral